Sinocyclocheilus grahami is the source of this 509-nucleotide long non-coding RNA. RefSeq lists it as uncharacterized. Lineage: Eukaryota; Metazoa; Chordata; Actinopteri; Cypriniformes; Cyprinidae. The transcript is spliced from 3 exons. The record is from RefSeq and is a predicted model, not a curated record.
GUUGCAGUUAUGUUGUACGAAGGUUGCAGUUAUGUUGUACGAUGGUUGUCACUAUGUUGUACGAUGGUUGUUAGUAUGUUGUACGAUGGUUGUUAGUAUGUUGUAUGAAGGUUAUAGGUAUGUUGUAUGAAGGUUGUUGUUAUGUUGUAUGAAGGUUGUCGUUAUGUUGUACGAUGGUUGUUGGUAUGUUGUAUGAAGGUUGUAGUUAUGUUGUACGAAGGUUGUCGGUAUGUUGCACGAUGGUUGUUAGUAUGUUCCAUGAAGGUUGUCCGUAUGUUGUAAAAUGGUUGUUAGUAUGUUGUACAACAGUUGGCGGUAUGUUGUACGAAGGUUGUCGUUAUGUUGUACGAUGGUUGUCAAUAUGUUGUACGAAAGUUGUAGUUAUGUUGUACGAAGGUUGCAGUUAUGUUGUACGAUGGUUGUCACUAUGUUGUACGAUGGUUGUUAGUAUGUUGUACGAUGGUUGUUGGUAUGUUGUAUGAAGGUUGUAGUUAUGUUGUACGAAGGUU